RNAcentral lists this transfer RNA (57 nucleotides) under Bos taurus (domestic cattle). It matches the Rfam family "tRNA", at positions 8 to 63 of the family's 71-position model. From Rfam's summary of the family: Transfer RNA (tRNA) molecules are approximately 80 nucleotides in length. Their secondary structure includes four short double-helical elements and three loops (D, anti-codon, and T loops). RNAcentral also lists the same sequence under 5 other names. The record is from Rfam by way of RNAcentral. Lineage: Eukaryota; Metazoa; Chordata; Mammalia; Artiodactyla; Bovidae.
UAGCUCAGAUGGUAGAGAAUCUGCCUGCAAUGCAGGAGACCUGGGUUUGAUUCCUGG